Molecule: long non-coding RNA, 790 nt
Organism: Sapajus apella (tufted capuchin)
Lineage: Eukaryota; Metazoa; Chordata; Mammalia; Primates; Cebidae
Exons: 5
Source: RefSeq, a predicted model, not a curated record
UCUGUGGAGGAAGCGGAUUGGGGGUGGAAUGGCUUUGGGGAGGGGAGUUCUUGGGAAAAGAUCAGCUCCCAGAGCGGGGGAGGCUGCUCGGCUUCAGGGAGGCACAGGGAAGAUGCAGCCGCAGGCUAAAGGCGGAUUCCCUACAAGGUGGGAGUUUUCCUGGACUACAGCGAAGGGGAUGGCUUUCUCUGUAACGUAAUUGAUGGGUCUCACAUUUUCUCCUUACCUCUGACUUGCUUCUGUGGAGCCCUCUUUCCAGACUUCAUGUUAAGGUCAGGAGAUGUGUCGUUGACCAUCUGCUCUGUGUAUAACUUCCAUUCAUUCUUGUGAACAGGACCGUUGCUAUUUGUAUUAGCUAAUUGCAAAACAAAAUUUACCACUAUUGAUUUCUUGAGGAAACCACUGGAAAGGACAUAUGAAAAAGUAAAGCAGAGAUUAUGUGAAAAAGCAAGAUUUGAAAAGGAAAUAUUUGACACACUAUGACUCCAAUUAAUCAAACUGCUCUCUGUUGCAGUGCUUACAAGCAAGUCCUGUCUUCAGAAGAACUGGCUCAUUUAAUAAGAGACAUAGCAGGAGUUUAAGGGGUGUAAUCUAUACAGUUAGUUUGCCGAUUAUUCUCCUUGGUGGAAAAAUAAUUCUCCAUCAUAAUUAUACACUGGCAAGGAUCACUACACAUUUGUAUGACAGUGAAACAGCAAAAUGACUAACAUAAACUCUUUUUUUGUUUAAGGGACCUUUACCCAGUCCUCCACGUAGACUAGGACAAUUUUAGAACACAGAUAAAAUGUAA